RNAcentral lists this microRNA precursor (93 nucleotides) under Manihot esculenta (cassava). RNAcentral's name for it is "miR2275 stem-loop (mes-MIR2275)". Lineage: Eukaryota; Viridiplantae; Streptophyta; Magnoliopsida; Malpighiales; Euphorbiaceae. The record is from miRBase by way of RNAcentral.
CACAUAUCUUGAAAGUGAGAUUUGGAGGAACUCAAAACCUUUUUGUAAUAUCUGCUUUGGUUUCCUCCAAUAUCUUACCUUCAAUGGUUUGUG